CAAAAAGUAGUUUAAAAAAAAUUCAAGCUUUGGGAGUUUGAGAUGUGAAUUUCAUCUUUUUGA
RNAcentral lists this transfer RNA (63 nucleotides) under Bosmina fatalis. RNAcentral describes it as "tRNA-Pro". Lineage: Eukaryota; Metazoa; Arthropoda; Branchiopoda; Diplostraca; Bosminidae. The record is from RNAcentral.